GAUGAACGCUAGCGAUAGGCUUAACACAUGCAAGUCGAGGGGCAGCAUGGUCUUAGCUUGCUAAGGCUGAUGGCGACCGGCGCACGGGUGCGUAACGCGUAUGCAACUUGCCUCACAGAGGGGGAUAACCCGUCGAAAGACGGACUAAUACCGCGUACACUCUAUGUUGGGCAUCCAAUGUAAAGGAAAUGAAAUUCGCUGUGAGAUAGGCAUGCGUCCCAUUAGCUAGUUGGUGAGGUAACGGCUCACCAAGGCGACGAUGGGUAGGGGAACUGAGAGGUUGAACCCCCACACUGGUACUGAGACACGGACCAGACUCCUACGGGAGGCAGCAGUGAGGAAUAUUGGUCAAUGGGCGAGAGCCUGAACCAGCCAAGUCGCGUGAAGGAUGACUGUCUUAUGGAUUGUAAACUUCUUUUAUACGGGAAUAACAAGAGUCACGUGUGGCUCCCUGCAUGUACCGUAUGAAUAAGCAUCGGCUAACUCCGUG
Molecule: ribosomal RNA, 490 nt
Filed under: uncultured bacterium
Lineage: Bacteria
Description: partial 16S ribosomal RNA
Rfam family: Bacterial small subunit ribosomal RNA
Source: RNAcentral